This 504-nucleotide ribosomal RNA is filed under the name uncultured bacterium. RNAcentral describes it as "bacterial SSU rRNA". It matches the Rfam family "Bacterial small subunit ribosomal RNA", at positions 19 to 518 of the family's 1533-position model. The record is from RNAcentral.
CUGGCUCAGGAUGAACGCUAGCGACAGGCCUAACACAUGCAAGUCGAGGGCAGCACAAGGGCAAUCUGAGGUGGCGACCGGCGCACGGGUGAGUAACACGUAUGCAACCUGCCUGUAAGCGGGGAAUAACCCGUUGAAAGACGGACUAAUACCGCAUAAUACUAAAUUACUGCAUGGUAAUUUAUUUAAACAUUUAUGGCUUACAGAUGGGCAUGCGCAUGAUUAGCUAGUUGGAGAGGUAACGGCUCCCCAAGGCAACGAUCAGUUAGGGGUUCUGAGAGGAAGGUCCCCCACACUGGUACUGAGACACGGACCAGACUCCUACGGGAGGCAGCAGUGAGGAAUAUUGGUCAAUGGACGAGAGUCUGAACCAGCCAAGUCGCGUGCAGGAAGAAUGUCCCUAUGGAUUGUAAACUGCUUUUGCAGGGGAAUAAAGUGCAUCACGUGUGAUGUUUUGUAUGUACUCUGCGAAUAAGGAUCGGCUAACUCCGUGCCAGCCGCUGC